This 364-nucleotide RNase P RNA is filed under the name Chlamydiales bacterium 38-26. Its description in RNAcentral is "RNase P RNA component class A". It matches the Rfam family "Bacterial RNase P class A". From Rfam's summary of the family: Ribonuclease P (RNase P) is a ubiquitous endoribonuclease, found in archaea, bacteria and eukarya as well as chloroplasts and mitochondria. Its best characterised activity is the generation of mature 5'-ends of tRNAs by cleaving the 5'-leader elements of precursor-tRNAs. The record is from RNAcentral. Lineage: Bacteria; Pseudomonadati; Chlamydiota; Chlamydiia; Chlamydiales. RNAcentral also lists the same sequence under 1 other name.
CUGGAAAGAGAAGUAAUCGCUCCUGAGCAUAGAUUCAGGGGAGGAAAGUCUGGACUUCACAGGAGAGGAUACCAGCGAAAGGCUGGGGGCUGCAAAGCUACGGAAAGUAUAACAGAAAACAUACCGUUGCUUAAUUUUUUAGGCAAAAAGGGUGAAAUGCCUUCUUUAAGAGAAGGCUCUGUUUGAGGAAACUCAAAAGAUGAUAAACCCUAUCCGAAGCAAGACCGAGGUAGAGCAAUACAGUUCUCCGCUGUGCUCUGUACAGGUCGCCAGAGUGUAUUGGUGACAAUGCACCUAGAUGAAUGAUUACUCGUUAGUAUUAUGUACUAAAUGACAGAAUCCGGCUUAAUAUCUUUCCAGACUU